Long non-coding RNA from Gopherus flavomarginatus (Mexican gopher tortoise), 2871 nucleotides. RefSeq lists it as uncharacterized. NCBI's taxonomy places the organism in Eukaryota, Metazoa, Chordata, Testudines, Testudinidae. The transcript has 4 exons. The record is from RefSeq and is a predicted model, not a curated record.
GUAUCAGUGUAAGGUAUUAGAUGCGUUUAGUUCUAAAGCUUUUUAUAGGCUUUCAUUUUGUUUAACAAUUCUCUGCAUUGUCGCAUCAGGCUGUCACUGCAGUGAACCUGGAGAGCCACAACUGGUGUAAAUCAGCAUCGCUCUGUGCCUUACAGUGAUUUACACCGGGUGAGCAUCUGGCUUAUUGUCUCUGACAUGAUUUUGCUACCUUGGUCAUUCCAGAUGUGACAUAAAGAAACUGAUCUGAGCCACAGCACCAGAGUUUACUAGAGAUUCAGAGUUCAGUGAAAAAUGCAGUGAGCUUAGACUCAAUGUAAUAAUAAUGCUACUUAGCCCUUAUAGCACUAAUGAUGUUUUACAAAUACUGACUAUCUGUAUGCACUAAUGGCUGGAAGAUUCAUUGCAACUAACUGAAUUUUUUGAAUGAUCGAUUUAAGAAGAGCUCUUAUAAGCUUCCAGCACAUCGCUAGAAUCAAUGGGCCUUAUUCUUAAGAGCGUGCUGAGCAGUCAACUCCCCUUGCAUGCUGUACAUCCUGUCAGAUCCCUCUCAGAUGUAAGCAGGGUCUGACUGAGUUCUUCCUGAUAGCUAGUGACGCACUAGGGGAAAAGACAUCAGGACCACACUGUAUUUGUGCGCACGCAUGCACACACACACACAUACACACACACACACACCUAUUCUACCUAGGUGGUUAGCAGAUAGACUUGCAGUGCCAAAGUAAUCAAUUUUGGCUGGGUUGGGGUUACAAUUCACUUUAGAAUUGAACGUGGGGGUAAUGAAAUGUUGUUAUCCUUCCUGCAGGAGUAAAGGACAGCAGAACUGUACUUUGCAUGCCCAGAUUGAGAUGGUCACCCUAAACUGAACCUCACUAGCUAAGCAGAGGGUAGGGAUGCCAAAUCCAACUGAAGAUGAGAUGGGUAAGGAUGGGGGAUUCUACUUGAUGGUAUGGCUGCUGCCUAAAGAGUCCCAGAUGCCCUUUGACCCUCCUUUCUCUAGUAUUUAAAGACAGAGCUGUGUGGACUCAACUGAGAGUCUUUGUUUCUGCCCCGUGAUGACUAGAGCUGAGGUUACUGAUGAGCGGGUCUAGGGGCUAAGCCUUAGACCUAGGAUGAGGACAGUGCUGCAGUGGAUGGCCCCACUCAUUGGUACGCCACCCGCUUGGCCAUAGUGGGACCAAUGGGAAAUUUAUAGGGCUCAAACUCUUAAACCUCCCAAUCCUCCAGCACCUAGGACCACUUGGUUCCCAUCACCGAGAGGACCACUGCCUUCAGAAGUCCAGGAGGAAGAGAGAGAGGAGCCCAAAGAGGCCCUUGAAAGUGAUACACUGUCACCCAUUCAUAUUUCAUCCUCAUCCCCAGAUGAAACAAUUAUGCCACCACCUCCCACUACAGAAGUUCUGGAACAGCCUUCCAAGGUGAGUAGUGGGGGCAAAAGACAUAUCUGGCUUCAAGACUAAGCUUGACUCAGUGCUUGUGAGAGGGGAAGUAUUGCCUCUUCAAGGCACCUCAGGGUGGUGAUUAGUUUUCCCAGAUUCCUGGCGGGGGACUCGAACCAGGUCUGUUUUGUAUUGUUAAGAGGCACCCCCACAGAUAUUCAACCCACCCUUGUUGCUGCCAACUCCCCUGGCAGAAGGGUUACAUAUAUAAAUGCACAUCACAGUUAUUGAUACUUGCCACAUCUAAGCACUAUGAUCCUGCCAAGUGCUGUGGAGCAAACUCCUUCCAUGGGAGACGAGGAUGCUCAGCACCUUACUGGAUGAGGCCCUUUGGCUUAUUGCUGGACACCACGGGUCUACUCUAAUAAACAAGGGAGAAGAAAAUUGUCACAUUCAACAAAGAGCUGGGAUAUAUUGCGGACCUUUCGAGCUCAUUCAAAGGCUUGUAUUGGAAGCAGGACUUUAGAGAAACAAUGGCACGUUGUCAAUAGGAUACACUGGACAUUAUUAAUAAACAUUAGGAGGCUUGAUAUGAUCUGGCAGAAGCAAUGUAAUGAAAUCAAGUACUGGAGCUGGACCGGGUGCGGGAGGAAUCUGAACAAGAUGCUUAAUGACUUACUGGACUGUGAAAUACAGUGGAGAGCCAGGUUGGAAAGGAAAAUCUUUUAAUGAAUUCAGCACAUGCACCCUUGGAAAGCUUUGCUCGCCGUUCCUCAGAAAUGUUUGACUCACCUGAAGAUCCUGAUCGUAUUAAAAAAAACCAAACAUGUUCAACGUGCUCCUAUUUCUUAACAUCUGCAAAGAACAUGGGCCAUGAGUGCCUGAUGAAAGCGCUUCCCUUGAAGGCCUCAAAGGUGGAACAAAGUGCAGGACAAUGGCUCCAGAUGGGGAAAGGCAAAUAGCCCACCGGUUGAGGAAGUUGAAAACAAUGCAAGAGACGCAUUGCUGUAGCAAAGGUUGUUACAGCAGUACAAGAAGUUUUUCCAUACCAAAGGUAAGAGGUAUGAUGUCAUCUCGAACUUGCUGGAGGAAGCCCAGUAUCAUAUGUAUGAAGACACCUUUUACAUUGUUAUUUCCUCACAUGUUUACCGUAGGCUACAUGGAUUCAUUGGUCUCUUAUCAUUAUAACCUCUUGAUAGCUCUUAGUGAGAGGAUAGGUAUGACUCAAACUUCAUGUUCUACAGUCAAACAAUACAUCAGUGUUUUCAUAAAUACUAUAUACAAAUUACAUUGAGAACAAUAGGCCUCUCCAUAUUUCCUGGGUGGAUGAAUCUGCGAUCGCAAGCCUUUUUACCCAGCAGUAAAUGCUCUGUAAGGAAUGGUACUGCAUUGGCAGAAAGACAGACUGAGAUGACUGAAUGGGGCUUUUCCAUCUCUAACUUCUAUGAUUUUAUGAUUCUGUGAAAUGAAUAUUAUCAUAACACUGACUAACAAA